Molecule: ribosomal RNA, 167 nt
Filed under: uncultured rumen bacterium
Lineage: Bacteria
Description: partial 16S ribosomal RNA
Rfam family: Bacterial small subunit ribosomal RNA
Source: RNAcentral
UACGGGAGGCAGCAGUGGGGAAUAUUGGGCAAUGGGCGCAAGCCUGACCCAGCGACGCCGCGUGAGUGAAGAAGUAUUUCGGUAUGUAAAGCUCUUUAAGCAGGGAAGAUAAUGACGGUACCUGCAGAAUAAGCACCGGCUAAAUACGUGCCAGCAGCCGCGGUAAU